Molecule: long non-coding RNA, 220 nt
Filed under: Elaeis guineensis (African oil palm)
Lineage: Eukaryota; Viridiplantae; Streptophyta; Magnoliopsida; Arecales; Arecaceae
Description: long non-coding RNA (EGUI_LNC048131)
Source: RNAcentral
UUGCAUGCUUGAAUUUGUUUUGAUCGUGAUCAACAAAGUGAUUUUAGGAUUUUGGGUUCGGCUCAAUAAUUUUUUUUGAUAAAGCUAUUGAUUUUUUUGUUUUAAAUUUUUUAAAAAUUACUUUUCACUAUGUAAUCAGAAUCCAAAAGUAAUAUCAGAGCCACCUUUAUUUGAUUCGAUCAAACAAGUAUAAUAGUUGUGCAUAGAAUCAUUCUUGUGC